GGAAAUGUGCCCGAGACUAGGGACUACCUUGAUAGAGUAGCUACAGGACCACACCCCUCAUUUCCU
Molecule: transfer RNA, 66 nt
Filed under: Chilabothrus argentum (Conception Bank silver boa)
Lineage: Eukaryota; Metazoa; Chordata; Lepidosauria; Squamata; Boidae
Description: tRNA-Ile
Source: RNAcentral